RNAcentral lists this ribosomal RNA (254 nucleotides) under uncultured bacterium. RNAcentral's name for it is "partial 16S ribosomal RNA". It matches the Rfam family "Bacterial small subunit ribosomal RNA", at positions 524 to 776 of the family's 1533-position model. The record is from RNAcentral.
UACGUAGGGGGCCAGCGUUGUCCGGAAUCAUUGGGCGUAAAGAGCGCGUAGGCGGCUCAGUAAGUCGGGUGUGAAACCCCCAGGCUCAACCUGGGGACGCCACCCGAUACUGCUGUGGCUAGAGUCCAGUAGGGGAGUGUGGAAUUCUCGGUGUAGCGGUGAAAUGCGCAGAUAUCGGGAGGAACACCAGCGGCGAAGGCGGCACUCUGGGCUGGAACUGACGCUGAGGAGCGAAAGCGUGGGUAGCAAACAGG